Molecule: unclassified non-coding RNA, 344 nt
Filed under: soil metagenome
Description: partial contains 5.8S ribosomal RNA, internal transcribed spacer 2, and large subunit ribosomal RNA
Rfam family: 5.8S ribosomal RNA (bases 1-120)
Source: RNAcentral
GAUGAAGAACGCAGCGAAAUGCGAUAAGUAAUGUGAAUUGCAGAAUUCAGUGAAUCAUCGAAUCUUUGAACGCACAUUGCGCCCGCCAGUAUUCUGGCGGGCAUGCUUGUUCGAGCGUCAUUUCCACCAUCAGGCCCCCGGGCCUGUGUUGGGGACCUGCGGCUGCCCGCAGGCCCCGAAAUUCAGUGGCGGUCGCGCCGUAGCAACCGAGCGUAGUAACUAAAACGUCUCGCUCUGGCUCGCUGGGCGCGCUCCGGCCGUAAAACACCCCCCCUUUUCGCAAAGGUUGACCUCGGAUCAGGUAGGAAUACCCGCUGAACUUAAGCAUAUCAAUAAGCGGAGGA